RNAcentral lists this non-coding RNA (64 nucleotides) under Microbacterium sp. Lineage: Bacteria; Bacillati; Actinomycetota; Actinomycetes; Micrococcales; Microbacteriaceae. RNAcentral also lists the same sequence under 1 other name. The record is from RNAcentral.
ACCGGAUCCCACCCGGAUCCCCGGACGACGGAUCAGUACCCGGUGAGCGACAAGACUGGCCGGG